AGUCAGGUCUCGUUGGUGACCAGCGGAGGGUCAUUACCGAGUUUACAACUCCCAAACCCAAUGUGAACGUUACCAAACUGUUGCCUCGGCGGGGUCACGCCCCGGGUGCGUAAAAGCCCCGGAACCAGGCGCCCGCCGGAGGGACCAACCAAACUCUUUUCUGUAGCCUUCGGGCGUUAUUUCUUACAGCUCUGAGCAAAAAUUCAAAAUGAAUCAAAACUUUCAACAACGGAUCUCUUGGUUCUGGCAUCGAUGAAGAACGCAGCGAAAUGCGAUAAGUAAUGUGAAUUGCAGAAUUCAGUGAAUCAUCGAAUCUUUGAACGCACAUUGCGCCCGCCAGUAUUCUGGCGGGCAUGCCUGUCCGAGCGUCAUUUCAACCCUCGAACCCCCUAGGGGGUCCGGCGUUGGGGAUCGGGAACCCCUAAGACGGGAUCCCGGCCCCGAAAUACAGUGGCGGUCUCGCCGCAGCCUCUCCUGCGCAGUAGUUUGCACAACUCGCACCGGGAGCGCGGCGCGUCCACGUCCGUAAAACACCCAACUUCUGAAAUGUUGACCUCGGAUCAGGUAGGAAUACCCGCUGAACUUAAGCAUAUCAAUAAGCGGAGGAA
RNAcentral lists this ribosomal RNA (608 nucleotides) under Trichoderma viride. Its description in RNAcentral is "eukaryotic LSU rRNA". The stretch from base 218 to 371 matches the Rfam family "5.8S ribosomal RNA". The record is from RNAcentral. Lineage: Eukaryota; Fungi; Ascomycota; Sordariomycetes; Hypocreales; Hypocreaceae.